CCAACCAGUGUGUGGUAGCUCGAAGAAAUCCAGCCAACCACCUUUAUGAAAAUACCCCGCACCCGUAAUCAAUCAUCCCAGAAACUUUCUUCAAAUUGUGACCAUCACAUACUUUCAAAAGUAAAAAAGUUUUACAAGAAGAAUCACUCUGUUAUUCCGGCACCGUCAACCAUCGAAAAUGAAAUGAAAAACACAAUAACCAGUGUUCUGAACCCAGUUGUUUCACCAAAGGAAUUUCACAAAUUCUUUCUGAAGAAGCACAAAAUAUUUUGAGUUUGAUGGGUAUCUUUUUCAUGUAAACUUAUGGAUCCAAUUUAUGAGAGAAAAUUGAUUGUUUGGAAAGAUAUGUGGGAAAGUUCACUUCUUGAAGAGGACCCAGAUCUGAAGAACUUUGACCGGAUUCUAGCCGUUUAUUCAACUCCGGCUGACUAUGGUCUUCUUUAAUCGAAGAAGAAGAAGACUAAUUAAUGGGUUCUAGUGUAAUCCAAUCGGGUCGGGCGAAUUUUUAAAAUGGGUUCAUAUUUUCUUAGUUGGCAAAUUAUUAUGGGGUCCCAGGUGCCAUGUUGGACAUCUGUUAGGGUUAGGGAAAUUUUAUUUACUAAGUCAACGGUAGGUACAAUUUUAGACGGAAAGUAGAAACGGGUAUAAACGUGGCUAAUUAUCCAAAGUAGAGGGACAAUUUUAGCCUUUUUCCCUUUAAAAAGUGGAAAAUUAAUUUUUUUUUUUGGAUCAAUUCACACACGCGACAGAUGUGAAAAAUGCACUUUUUUGCAGCCUAUUGUGUUCAAUAAACACAAUUUUGUUAUGAUUGGAGUGUUCAAUAGGUACAGAUCCUAGUUGAAGUGUCUAAAUGAAAAUUAGAGCCAACUUUAAGGGGCUACCUAUGUAUUUGGUCUUUCCUCUUCUUAAAUGCCAUCACUACAUGCUUUACUUUGGA
This is a long non-coding RNA of Nicotiana attenuata, 937 nucleotides long. RefSeq lists it as uncharacterized. NCBI's taxonomy places the organism in Eukaryota, Viridiplantae, Streptophyta, Magnoliopsida, Solanales, Solanaceae. The transcript is spliced from 2 exons. The record is from RefSeq and is a predicted model, not a curated record.